CCAGUAUCCAGGUGGACCUGGGAAAUGGAACUGACUGAUCCUCUUCAAUUUGACGAUGUUGAGUAUCUCUGCAUGAAGUGACAUUAAAUGAAGAUCAGCACAGGAAACUGCCACAGGAAACACAGAGAUUAAUACCUAUUAACUCAGCCACCACUACCGGAUCCAUUUCACUGAAGAAAGAACCAAAGGACGUUCAGGAAUUCAAUCCCAGGCAAGCUAAGCCUCAGAACCCACGCUCUGUCCCCAACACCAUAAUGAAUGCGCUGUUAGAAAACUGAGAAAUGACGGGGUUUUUUUUGCACAACCCCUGCCAAGACAACAUCUUAGGCUCACAUUAACAACCCAGGUUCUCAGAUUGCCUCUUUUGAUACAAACUGGGCUUGGAGCAAAGUGGUAGAAUUCAUCCCCAGAUUCUGCCUUUCUCUGGUAUUUUUAUCCCAUGC
Nannospalax galili (Upper Galilee mountains blind mole rat) is the source of this 443-nucleotide long non-coding RNA. RefSeq lists it as uncharacterized. The record is from RefSeq and is a predicted model, not a curated record. The transcript has 3 exons. Lineage: Eukaryota; Metazoa; Chordata; Mammalia; Rodentia; Spalacidae.